AUUUGAGGUAGCUUCAAGAUUAGUAACAAAGGAGAAUAACAGACAAAAACUAAAUCAACUGAAGAAAGUAAGAACGGAGACCAGAGACUGGAAAACUAAGUUCAAAACAAAAAGAAGAAAAUGGCAAGAGCUUAUGGGGACUGGAUGAGAGGAAAAGCCUUGGGGGAAGUUGGGGAAGAUGAGGAGUCUCCACAAAGAAGCCAGAGAAGGAAGAACCAAUAUGAACAGUGGAAAACCAAGAGAAUAGCAAACAAAUGAAGAAAGCCUUUGGAAAAGCAUCUAAAAGGAGAAAACCUCAAGAUCCUUGUUUUCAAGAACCUUAGAACUUGAAGAAAAAUUACAUGUACUUGCAGACAACUAGAAAACAAUUCUGAAGUUAUACAAUUAUACAAAAGAUUUUACAAGAUAAGUCUCAGAAGAUUUGAGUAAAUGAGCCUAGAAUUGUGUAUCUGUUGGCUGACCAGACUGACUAAAUAAAUCAGCUCAUUUGGAGUCCUC
Molecule: long non-coding RNA, 498 nt
Organism: Zalophus californianus (California sea lion)
Lineage: Eukaryota; Metazoa; Chordata; Mammalia; Carnivora; Otariidae
Exons: 4
Source: RefSeq, a predicted model, not a curated record